Molecule: ribosomal RNA, 593 nt
Filed under: Penicillium sp. E223
Lineage: Eukaryota; Fungi; Ascomycota; Eurotiomycetes; Eurotiales; Aspergillaceae
Description: eukaryotic LSU rRNA
Rfam family: 5.8S ribosomal RNA (bases 228-380)
Source: RNAcentral
AGUAAAAGUCGUAACAAGGUUUCCGUAGGUGAACCUGCGGAAGGAUCAUUACCGAGUGAGGGCCCUCUGGGUCCAACCUCCCACCCGUGUUUAUUUUACCUUGUUGCUUCGGCGGGCCCGCCUUAACUGGCCGCCGGGGGGCUUACGCCCCCGGGCCCGCGCCCGCCGAAGACACCCUCGAACUCUGUCUGAAGAUUGAAGUCUGAGUGAAAAUAUAAAUUAUUUAAAACUUUCAACAACGGAUCUCUUGGUUCCGGCAUCGAUGAAGAACGCAGCGAAAUGCGAUACGUAAUGUGAAUUGCAAAUUCAGUGAAUCAUCGAGUCUUUGAACGCACAUUGCGCCCCCUGGUAUUCCGGGGGGCAUGCCUGUCCGAGCGUCAUUGCUGCCCUCAAGCCCGGCUUGUGUGUUGGGCCCCGUCCCCCGAUCUCCGGGGGACGGGCCCGAAAGGCAGCGGCGGCACCGCGUCCGGUCCUCGAGCGUAUGGGGCUUUGUCACCCGCUCUGUAGGCCCGGCCGGCGCUUGCCGAUCAACCCAAAUUUUUAUCCAGGUUGACCUCGGAUCAGGUAGGGAUACCCGCUGAACUUAAGCAUAU